This is an RNA transcript of Talpa occidentalis (Iberian mole), 9373 nucleotides long. It is a transcript of the gene named KH RNA binding domain containing, signal transduction associated 1, with no coding region annotated. NCBI's taxonomy places the organism in Eukaryota, Metazoa, Chordata, Mammalia, Eulipotyphla, Talpidae. The record is from RefSeq and is a predicted model, not a curated record. The transcript is spliced from 11 exons.
AUUUCCGGUGCUCUCUUUCGCUGGGUCGCUUGGGUCGGCUUCGGUCGCCGUCGCUCCGUCUCUCCCGCCCCCGCCAACCGCCGCUCGGGCCUUUGCCGCUGCCGCGUCGCUUCCUCGAUCCUCCGAUCGCACAUCAUCCCUAAUGCAGCGCCGGGACGACCCCGCCGCGCGCAUGAGCCGGUCCUCGGGCCGCAGCGGCACCAUGGACCCCGCCGGCGCCCACCCCUCAGUGCGUCAGACGCCGUCUCGGCAGCCGCCGCUGCCUCACCGGUCCCGGGGCGGCGGCGGAGGGCCCCGGGGGGGCGCCCGGGCCUCGCCCGCGACGCAGCCGCCACCGCUGCUGCCGCCCUCGGCCACGGGUCCCGACGCGACAGUGGGCGGUCCGGCGCCGACCCCGCUGCUGCCCCCCUCAGCCACGGCCUCCGUUAAGAUGGAGCCGGAGAACAAGUACCUGCCCGAGCUCAUGGCCGAGAAGGAUUCCCUCGACCCGUCCUUCACGCACGCCAUGCAGUUGCUGACGGCAGAAAUUGAGAAGAUUCAGAAAGGGGACUCAAAAAAGGAUGAUGAAGAGAAUUACUUGGAUUUAUUUUCUCACAAGAACAUGAAACUGAAGGAGCGGGUACUGAUACCUGUCAAACAGUAUCCCAAGUUUAAUUUUGUGGGAAAGAUCCUUGGGCCACAAGGAAAUACAAUCAAAAGACUGCAAGAGGAGACUGGUGCCAAGAUCUCUGUCUUGGGAAAGGGCUCAAUGAGAGACAAAGCCAAGGAGGAAGAACUGCGUAAAGGUGGAGACCCCAAAUAUGCUCAUUUGAAUAUGGAUCUGCAUGUCUUCAUUGAAGUCUUUGGACCCCCAUGUGAGGCUUACGCUCUUAUGGCCCACGCUAUGGAGGAAGUCAAGAAGUUUCUAGUUCCAGAUAUGAUGGAUGAUAUCUGCCAGGAGCAGUUUCUAGAGCUGUCCUACUUGAAUGGAGUACCAGAGCCCUCUCGUGGACGUGGGGUGCCAGUGAGAGGCCGGGGAGCUGCGCCUCCUCCUCCACCUGUUCCUAGGGGGCGUGGUGUUGGACCACCUCGGGGGGCUUUAGUGCGUGGUACUCCAGUGAGAGGAGCCAUCACCAGAGGUGCCACUGUGACUCGAGGAGUGCCACCCCCACCUGCUGUGAGGGGUGCGCCAACGCCAAGAGCCCGGACAGCAGGCAUCCAGAGAAUACCUUUGCCUCCACCCCCUGCACCUGAAACAUACGAAGAAUAUGGAUAUGAUGAUACUUACGCAGAACAGAGUUAUGAAGGCUACGAAGGCUAUUACAGCCAGAGUCAAGGGGACUCAGAAUAUUAUGACUAUGGACAUGGGGAGGUUCAAGAUUCUUACGAAGCUUAUGGGCAAGAUGACUGGAAUGGGACCAGGCCGUCGCUGAAGGCCCCUCCAGCUAGGCCAGUGAAGGGAGCAUACAGAGAGCACCCAUAUGGACGUUAUUAAAAUCAAACAUGAGGGGAAAAUAUCAGUUAUGAGCAAAGUUGUUACUGAUUUCUUGUAUCUCCCAGGAUUCCUGUUGCUUUACCCACAACAGACAAGUGAUUGAAAACUUCUGAGAUAUUUCCUAAAGCAGAAUGGGUAAUGAAGACCCAUGUCAGCCAUCAGAGGACUCUGGAAACCAGGAGAACUACCUGCUGUGUCAAGGCUGGCCUGAGGGCAUUUGCUGAGCACAGAGAAACCCAGGAGAGGAGCUCCACAAUCUUUUCCCACCCUACCUCUUGAUCUGUCAGAUUUACCCACAGAAAGCCAGCCAGAAUCCCCUAAGAGUCUCUAGGCCCAGAAUGGAAUCCUCAGGGCUUCAGGAGACUUUGGUACUAACAGAUAACCUGUCAGGACUUCUCAAAAGUUGAAGGAAAUUAACAAUAUCCCCACCACAAUCUCCUAGAUAUGAAUAAACUGGCAACCCCUACUGUGCCAUUUCCAGUGUGACUGCUACCCUUAGCCUCCAACAGAAUUGGCUAGAACACCUUGCUGCCACCACCUGUUUCCCACCCUGUCACACCUGUGCUGUGGAUGCCAGCCUGGGCACCCUUGCAUCCUCCAGACAGCUCCCAAAGAGAGGCUGGUCACCACCUCUGUAGCAGGCUGAGGAAAGCCAGGUGGAAGGUGUCAUUUACUCUGGGAGGGUUAGUUAACCCUUGAGCCUGUUUGUCCUUCUGUGUUGAUUACUGACAUCGGAAAGCUUUGGGAAGGUAAGGCUUUUCUGCACUGCCCUUGUACCUUCCUCAGCCCGUACCUGACAGUGAGGCGCUCAAGAAAGGUCUGGCCAGGUGACGCCUAGUCCCACUCUGCUGACGGCUGUGGGCUGUGCAGCGCCAGCCCUGUCUGGGACUCCCUCGGCGGCGUGGGACGUUCUCUGCCGGGAUGGGGAUGUCAGCCUUUGAUAAAUUUCUGGCUGCUAUGACCUGUGUUCUAGGCUGAUUUUACAGGGAGCAGAAUUCUAGAGAAGUCAAGAAUCUAAUAUCACACGCUUCCUUUAGUGCCUUCUGUUUAUCCUAACGAGGGGAGCAAUGGGAUGGGAGCGCGUUGGGGAGAGAAUCCAGCUGCAUUUUCACCGUGCCCAAUGUGUUCUGAUGAGCUUGGAGUCAUUCCUAGCAGGAACUCAGAUGGAAUUCAAAUGCAAUCAAUUGAUUUACUUUGGGCAAGUUAUUUAACCUCUUGAGCCUGUUUUUAUCUUCAUAUUGAUUACUAUGAAUAAUAGUUAAUUUAUUUGAGUGCUUAGUAUGUACCAGGCACUAUGUCAAGCAUUUAUAUGCAUUAUUUCACUUACUCUGGUCUCAUUUUACAGAUAAGGAAAUGAGGCUCCAGGGGCAUAAAUCACUUGUCUAAGUUAAAAAAGGUGCUGUCAUACUUAAUAGCCCAGUCUACCUCUUAGAGCCACAUGUACUUAGAAGUAGUGAAGCAUGUCUAUGUGAGAGAUUCAUCUAGAUUGAUAGACCAUCCAGGUUCACCCAGAACUGAGAAAGUUCUAGGAUGUGGAACCUUCAGCUGGGUUUACCAGGGAAGUUCCAGGUAAAUCCAGCAGGUCCAGUUUGUUACUCUUUGCAUUGAGAAACUGCAACCAGGACUGGCCACAGACUGCCUAGGAGUUCACAGGGCUAAAGCAAAAAUAGACCUAGGAUCAAUUCUUACUUCAUUUGCUGUGUAUUUUCCUGGGCCUGUUUACAAAUACAGAAAAAUGUCUCUCCACAUAAUGGGAUCUGAGAAACACAUGAAAUGUCUGAAAUACCAACCACAGGGUCUACACAUAACUACUCAACACUUAGAUUUCCUUCAUCUUGUUGCCUUGUGUUUCAUACCAUUGUGUCACCUGCCACAUCUGUCACAUACAGCCUCUCAUUACCACUUGCAGCCCUAGAGUUCUUCUAAGAGCCCUGACUUAGUGGGCUUAGCCCACCACCCAGCUGCCCUGUAUAUCAGUCAUCUCGACAGAAAGCAGAGAAAGAAUGACAUCAGCCUUCCUACCAUCCAAAGCCUCUGGACUGUUUUGAGCCAUAAAUAUUUUAGCUGGGUCUUUCUCUAGCUGUUGCCUGGGUGAUGGUCUCUCAAGGGACUGAGGUGGGAGUGUGGGGGCAGGGCUGGCAGCCUGGAGCCUAGCUGCAGAGCUGGCCCCAGAGGCAGAUUUGAAGCCUGGCCAAGAGCCGGUGCUUGCUGCAGCAGUUUGAAGGCUAUUGCUUUGUCUGUCUUCUCUUCCCUAGGCCUUUCAGCCUCCUGCUUCCAAGACCAGCUCAGCCCUUGACUGCUACUUGAUAACUGGGUAAAUUGCUAGAUGUCCCUGUGCUUUUCACUCUAAAAUCUGCAACAGAAAAAUCACUACUCACAGGGCCUCCCUGUUGGUGCAGAGUUUAAGUCUCAGCACUGUGAAGCUAUCUGCAGCACAAGAUCAAUCAAUCCCUGGCCAGGGAGCUGACCCACGUGGCACAGCAGGCCUCCCGUCUGGCCCUCUGCUCCCCUCAGCACUGUGUUUCAGUCAAUCUGCCUGUUCUGUUCUCUGGUUGAAUCCUCUCACCACCCUGCACCUCUGGCCUACAGCUCAGCUCUUGUAUGCAAAAAUAAAUCUUUAAAGAAAAAUCACUAGACUCAGUGUAGUUAAGUGGGGAAAAAAGAGGUAAAGGAGAGGUAAAAAUCAAGUCAUGAUUGGAGAAGCUAGGCCUCAUAGCCCUUUCUGGUAGAUGUAAAUUAGACAGUCUUAAAACAGUGUUGAUGCUGCUCCAAAGACUGUCAGAUGUGGCACUGCCUCCCUGUCUUCCUCAGUUUCUGUCCGUAGUUCCUUUUCCUAAGGUUUCUAGGAGCAGCUGGACUUUUCUGACCUGGCCCCAGGUACUCUAAGGAGUUGCACCCAGUCAUGUUGAUGGAAUCAUUUUUUGCUAAUGGUAUAAAAAUAAGCCCCCAAACUAGAUCUGACUCAUAGCCUCUAUGCUCUCCUCUCCAGUAGACUCCCCUCCCCAGGGGUACCUGUAUUCAUGCCCCACACACCUACUAUUGAGAAACUCUACAAUGGAUCAGAAUUGCCCAUCCCCUGCCCAGUCUUGCCCUUAAUCCUCUAGGGCUGGAGCAGUGAAUUCCUUUGUGUGGGGCUCCCUCUGGUGGUUGGUAUGUGCACUGCAGGAUAAUAUGUGAGGCUGAAUUGCAGGCUACCUUGAUGGGGGGGGGGUGGUUUGCUCUAUUCCAGGGUGAAUCUGUCCCCAGCUCCAAAUAACAUUUCAUUUCUUAUGUAGGAUAUUUCUGCCUUCUGCUUUUCUCUGUCAUUAAUCCUCAUAAUUCAGUGAUACAAGGAUAGUCCUAAUUAUAAAAUGAAGCAGGUUUAAAGAGGUGAAAUGAAAUCCAAACUUUUUCCUGUUUAUAGCAUUCAAGAUCUUCAAGUGAUAAUGAGCUUUCCACCUUCAAAAAUUGUCCUCAAGUCAAAAUGGACUUGCUCUUCUGGGAUAUAGCAUACCUCUGGACCUUACGUUAUAUCCAAAUGUAUUAUCUACCAAAAUUCUAUUCAUUUUUAAAAAGCUGAAGAAAUGCAGUAUUUCUAAAACUUGCACAUACUGUGUUUAUAAUAACAAAUGCUGUGAGGUAUGGGGAGACUAAUGACACAUGGGAGUGAGACUGGCCCAGGAGAUAACAAGAACAUGAAGGCACCUGGUUCUCUUUUAGUACAAAUUAGAUGUAAGUAUUUCUGCUGGCAGAGGAAAGUGAGAGCAACUCCCAGAGAAGCUAGAACAGAGGUGCAGGUAAGAUUUCAAAGAUUUAUUUAUUCAUGCAUACAAAUCUUACAUUUCUUUCUACUUCAUAAUAUAUCCAUGUUUUAAUAGUAGCCAAUACUUAAAUAGCACCUAUUGUGCACGAGUGAAGGCCCAGGGACAUUUAGCAAUUUAUCCAAUAUCAAGUAGCAGUCAAGGGCUGAGCUGGACUUGGAAGCAGGAGGCUAAUGGGCCUAGGGAAGGGAAGACAGAGCAACAGCCUUCAAACUGCUGCAGCAAGUACAUAGAAUAACAACUUUACCAUAAUCUCAUAAGACAGGCACUAAUACUAACAUCACUUUACACUGAGAAAACAAGCACAGAAAGGUUAAGUCACUUCCUAAAGUCAUUUGAUUCCAUGUGAAUCUGGUUCAGAGAAGGCUCUGGAUAAUUACCCUUUAAUAUUGAAAAUACUGCCUUAUAUUUCCAUGAAUAAGACCAACAUUCCAGAAAACAGUAUUGUAUUUUAACCCGUGGUUUCAAUACCUCCACGCAAUACCAGGGAUUUGCAUACUCAACUUGAAAAUUAGCGAUCUGGAGGGCUGUCCUAGUCCCAGAAUAACAUGAACAAAAGGAGAUCCCAACUCAUGACACAUAACUGGCAUAAAGCCAGUGGCAUUUCCUCAAAAACUCAGACUUACGGAAAAUCCAAUAGAGAGUAAGCUAGCCAGGACAUGAACAUGUAGAAGAGGGAUGUGAGGCCUUCCAGGUCACAAAACAACUGAGAUUUGUGGUCACAUCUGGAGGACAAGAACCUAACAUCCUGACGUCUUUUAUUACUUUCCCCAGGGAGUCUAGGAGAAGUGAAGGGGUUGAGACCCUAGAUGUUUCUGUGAGAUACAGGGAUAGAAUUGAAUAUUCAUCCUGAGAUCAGUUUGCAAUGUCUGACUGAAUAUACUAACAAAAUCCAUAAUGGCCACAGGUGUGGAUCCAGAAUUUCAGAUGAUGCCAUUGAAUGUCACUGGAUUACUUGACUUUUCUAUGCUUCAUUGUCAAGUUCUUUCAAAGAAGUGACACAACUCCAAGUUUCUAACCUACUUAGCAGUCCCCGAGGUCAUGGUGGUGGCGGAAGGGGUGGGGGAAUCACUUCCCAAUAUUUGCAGAAAAGAUCAUAAUAUUAAUCCCAUUUGGCGGGACUUGGGUCAUGAGUCAUUAACAUGCUGCCCUUCCUCCUCCCUCCAUCCCACCCCUGCCCCCACCUUCCAGUCACUGUAACCUGAGGGGGUAGAGAUGGAAUGGUUAGAUUCACCAAGGCAGUCUUACUGCAGAGUAAGGCAGUUCCACCAAACCACAUGUACUCUGAGAAUGAGCAAGCAAGCUCCUCAAUGGAAAACCACAGCGUUCUUACCAAAAGAAAGGAAUGAAUGCUGGGCAGAAAAAUCAAUAGUUCACCUGUACAGGUGGUUAGGAGCUACAGGCAAUUCACGGCAUGUAUAGCGGUCCAUUUGUGUGGCCUUACCCAUUUAUACUAAAUUGUAUGAAAGCCCUCAAAUCAGUUCAUCGAACAUUUCGUGAGUAGUUGCCAUGCACAAGGCCCAGGGCCUUCAACAUCAUAGAUGCACAGCAGGACAUUCCUCUGCCUUCAGGCCCAGUGAGGCAAUUAACAGACUCAAGCUAUUACUUCCUCCCAUAGGACUAUAACGGAGUUCCUAUCCCUCACAGAAAACAGCUUUGCUGUCAUGUACCAUGAAAUCUCCCAUUAAGAGUCACCUUCCAUUCAUUCACCUGAACUUGCAUGCAUGUUACAUAUUGGACUGUCAAGAAAAGUCAUGACAUAUUUUUUCUGUUUUUUAAGCAAAAAGUGCAUCAUGACUUUUCCAACAACCCAAUAGUAUAGUAGCACUGUAGGUACACCGUGCCAAUAUUCUCUCUGUCCACCUAGUAAUGAGUGGCAUUACUGUAUCUCAAGUACCCAAGGAUAUAGUCGAUGCUCAAAAUGCUUGUUUGUGGGCCUCCCUGGUGGCACAGAGGCUAAAGUCAGCACUGUCAAACUAUCCCCAACCACUGUGGCAUGAGUUCAAUCCCAGGCCAGGAGCUAACACACAUGGCACAACAGACCUCUCCUGUCUUGCCUACUGCUCCCCUCAGCAGUGUAUUUCAGUAGAUCCAGCUAAUCUGCUCCCCACUCUGUCUCAGGUGAAGACUUGGACCCCUUGCAUCUCUGGCCUAGACCCCAGUUCUUAUAUGCAUAAAUAAAUCUUUUUGUAAAAAAUGCUUUUGACAACAGUUUCUAUGAAUGGCCGAGCCUCAGUAGUACAUGGACUAUUCCUGAAAUCAUUUCAUCAGCCAAUUUGCCACUACCUGAGUUCAAUUCAACUAAUAUUCAUUGAAUGUUUCUCGUAUGCCAGGUAGUGUUAGGCUUUGAGGAUUCAGAAACAAGAUGCAUUUCAAAUAUAGCACUCUCUAAAGAGGCCAGAAGCAGUUCUUUUACCAAAAUUUGUUUGGUCAAAACACAGACUCAGCCCUGGUUUCUUUUUUUUUUUUUUUUUUUUUAAAGACAUUUUAUUUUUACAAGAGCUGGGAUAUAGGCCAGAGUUGCAGGGGGUGAGAGGAUUCACCGGAGACAGAGUGGGGAACAGAACAGGCAGACUGACCGAAGUACACUGCUAAGGGGAGCAGCCAGUGAGACAGGACAGGUCUGCUGUACCAUAUGGGUUUCUCCCUGGCCUGGCCAGCCACAAAUCAAACCCAUGCUGCAGAGGCUGUGUUUUGCUUCAUAGUGGGGUGCUUAACCCCUUGAACCACCAGGGAGGCCCUCAGCCCUGGUCUCUACAUUGUGGCCUGCUCAUUCUCCCUCAGAAGGGAAGAACUGACUUGGUAUAAAAUCUAUAAUUUCCAUUUGGCGAGGCUGAAAACUUUAGAGUAAUCCUUUAAAAAAAAUGAUUUAUUUAUGCAUAGCAGAACUGGGGUACAGGCCAGAGGUGCAGGAGGUGAGAGGAUUCACCAUAGGCAGAAUGGGAAACAGAACAGGCAGCCUGACUGAAAUACACUGCUGAGGGGAGCAGCCAGCAAGAGAUCUGCUGGGCCAUGUGGGUUGCUCCCAGGCCUGCCAGCGAUCAACUCAUGCUGCAGAGGCUGUGGAUAGCUUCAUAGUGCUGUGCUUAACCCCUCAUGCUAACAAAGAGGCCCUUUAGAGUAAUCCUUGAUAUUUCUUUCACACAUCUGUAUAAUCUGUCAACAAAUUCUGUUGACUUUAUCUUCAAAUCCAGGAUUCAACUGUGACUCAUCAAUGUUGUCACUUAAUCUGAUACAAAUCAUUGACCUCUCUUACUAUGAUCAUUGCCAUGGCCUUCUGUCUGGUCUCCCUGCUUCCACCUUUGUGUCCACACAAUCUGUUUUCACACAGCAGCUGGAGUAAGUCUAAAAAAUGAAAGUUCAGAUCCUCUAAUAAGUCCCCACCUCAUUCAGAAUAAAAGCCACCUGGCACUACAGGAGCCGCCAUCUCUUCUCAUGUCCAACUGUCAUGUCUACCCCAUCCCAGCCACAGUGGCUUCCCCGCUGUUUCUUAAAUACAUAGAGCACACUGGCUACCUGAUGGCCUCUCCUACCACUGACCCUUCCUUCUGCCUGGAAUGCCCCUUUUCUCCAGAUAUCUGACUCACUCAUUUCCUUCAAGUGUUUUCUCAAAAGUCAGCCUCACAGUGAAGCCUGUUCUGACUGCCCUGUUUACAAUUGAAACCUCCCAUCCGCCUUUCCUGUUUUUCCUCGACAACAACCAUCCUCAUCUAACACACUAUGGAAUUUACUUGUUUUAUUUAUAUCUGUCUCCCCUCAUUAACUGAAUACCUUUUAAGGAAAUAUCUACAGAUUCAAUUAACAUUCAUGUAGACUAUGUGCUAAGCACUGUGCUAAGAGAUGGACUUUCUGUUUAUGUCUUAUGAAGGUAGAAAUCAUAAUAACAAUUAGGAGCAGUAGCUCAUGUAUUGAGUGCUUCCUCUGUGUUAGUGUUUGCCAAAUAUCGUAAUAAAAAUGGCUAACAUUGAUCCAGACUCUUCUACAUGCAUUAUCUCAUUCAAUCCUCUCCAAGGCCAAAGUGGUAGCUAUUGCCAGCCUCAUUGUAAACAGCUGGUAAGAAACAAGAUUGCAAAGCUCGAAAUGGGCAGUCACGAUUUGG